RNAcentral lists this ribosomal RNA (650 nucleotides) under uncultured Pseudomonadota bacterium. RNAcentral's name for it is "bacterial SSU rRNA". It matches the Rfam family "Bacterial small subunit ribosomal RNA", at positions 48 to 687 of the family's 1533-position model. The record is from RNAcentral. Lineage: Bacteria; Pseudomonadati; Pseudomonadota.
CUAACACAUGCAAGUCGAACGGUAACAGGAAGAAGCUUGCUUCUUUGCUGACGAGUGGCGGACGGGUGAGUAAUGUCUGGGAAACUGCCUGAUGGAGGGGGAUAACUACUGGAAACGGUAGCUAAUACCGCAUAACGUCGCAAGACCAAAGAGGGGGACCUUCGGGCCUCUUGCCAUCGGAUGUGCCCAGAUGGGAUUAGCUAGUAGGUGGGGUAACGGCUCACCUAGGCGACGAUCCCUAGCUGGUCUGAGAGGAUGACCAGCCACACUGGAACUGAGACACGGUCCAGACUCCUACGGGAGGCAGCAGUGGGGAAUAUUGCACAAUGGGCGCAAGCCUGAUGCAGCCAUGCCGCGUGUAUGAAGAAGGCCUUCGGGUUGUAAAGUACUUUCAGCGGGGAGGAAGGGAGUAAAGUUAAUACCUUUGCUCAUUGACGUUACCCGCAGAAGAAGCACCGGCUAACUCCGUGCCAGCAGCCGCGGUAAUACGGAGGGUGCAAGCGUUAAUCGGAAUUACUGGGCGUAAAGCGCACGCAGGCGGUUUGUUAAGUCAGAUGUGAAAUCCCCGGGCUCAACCUGGGAACUGCAUCUGAUACUGGCAAGCUUGAGUCUCGUAGAGGGGGGUAGAAUUCCAGGUGUAGCGGUGAAAU